Nematostella vectensis (starlet sea anemone) is the source of this 369-nucleotide long non-coding RNA. RefSeq lists it as uncharacterized. The transcript has 2 exons. The record is from RefSeq and is a predicted model, not a curated record. Lineage: Eukaryota; Metazoa; Cnidaria; Anthozoa; Actiniaria; Edwardsiidae.
GGGAAGGAAUCACAAAUCACUAUGUGAAAAUUUGUAAUUUCAGGGGUAACACAAGAGUGGGUUUCCCCCUGCCAAAGAACAGCCAUCAUGGCCAUCAUGGCAAUCCUGGCCUGCCACCAUACAGAACUGCAAAGCCUUUAAGGAUAUAAUGAUCAGGAAGCAAAGGGAACCUAUUUGAAAUCUUGUAUGGGCACCUUUCCAGUCAAUGAUAUGAUUGCAUUGGUGGGAAAACCAAUAGAACUUUAGCUGUAAUUAUCAUACCCAGUAUAGUUUUCACCAAGCAGGGGUCUUCUUUCUCCAGCUGUAGUUUCUAAACUUCCUACAAUUCAGCACAAAAUAUGGUAUUAAAAAAAUUUAGAAAACUCAUAC